This 446-nucleotide ribosomal RNA is filed under the name uncultured bacterium. RNAcentral describes it as "bacterial SSU rRNA". It matches the Rfam family "Bacterial small subunit ribosomal RNA", at positions 330 to 792 of the family's 1533-position model. The record is from RNAcentral.
GCCAGACUCCUACGGGAGGCAGCAGUGGGGAAUAUUGGGCAAUGGGCGCAAGCCUGACCCAGCAACGCCGCGUGAAGGAAGAAGGCUUUCGGGUUGUAAACUUCUUUUAAGAGGGAAGAGUAGAAGACGGUACCUCUUGAAUAAGCCACGGCUAACUACGUGCCAGCAGCCGCGGUAAUACGUAGGGAGCAAGCGUUGUCCGGAAUUACUGGGUGUAAAGGGAGCGUAGGCGGGAUGGCAAGUUGGGUGUUAAAUCUACCGGCUCAACUGGUAGUCGCACUCAAAACUGCUAUUCUUGAGUGAAGUAGAGGCAGGCGGAAUUCCUAGUGUAGCGGUGAAAUGCGUAGAUAUUAGGAGGAACACCAGUGGCGAAGGCGGCUUACUGGACAGUAACUGACGUUGAGGCUCGAAAGCGUGGGGAGCAAACAGGAUUAGAUACCCCCGUA